AACGCAAAUUGCACUUCUUGGUAUUCCGAGGAGUAUGCUUGCUUGAGGGUUGGUCUACAAAAAAAUCGUAAAUUUUUUUUACGGAUCUGGGUUUUCCGAGUUUUCUCGACUUCGGUUGCCUAAAAUUUAUCUUGACAAUGAGGUAUUAAUUAGAAAUGUACUAUCUUACACGUGAGUUCGUUGAUAAUUAUACCAGUUGUUACGUCGCGUUAUUCAUCUAGUACCUUUGAUUAGGUGAAAUAAUUCAAUUUUUUAAUCCUACCUCAAGUCAAGUAAGGAUACCCGCUAAACUUAA
Molecule: unclassified non-coding RNA, 295 nt
Filed under: uncultured fungus
Lineage: Eukaryota; Fungi
Description: sequence contains ITS2
Source: RNAcentral